This 497-nucleotide ribosomal RNA is filed under the name uncultured bacterium. Its description in RNAcentral is "partial 16S ribosomal RNA". It matches the Rfam family "Bacterial small subunit ribosomal RNA", at positions 28 to 507 of the family's 1533-position model. The record is from RNAcentral.
GAUGAACGCUGGCGGCGUGCCUAAUACAUGCAAGUCGAGCGAACAGAUGAGGAGCUUGCUCCUCUGACGUUAGCGGCGGACGGGUGAGUAACACGUGGAUAACCUACCUAUAAGACUGGGAUAACUUCGGGAAACCGGAGCUAAUACCGGAUAAUAUAUUGAACCGCAUGGUUCAAUAGUGAAAGACGGUUUUGCUGUCACUUAUAGAUGGAUCCGCGCCGAAUUAGCUAGUUGGUAAGGUAACGGCUUACCAAGGCAACGAUGCGUAGCCGACCUGAGAGGGUGAUCGGCCACACUGGAACUGAGACACGGUCCAGACUCCUACGGGAGGCAGCAGUAGGGAAUCUUCCGCAAUGGGCGAAAGCCUGACGGAGCAACGCCGCGUGAGUGAUGAAGGUCUUCGGAUCGUAAAACUCUGUUAUUAGGGAAGAACAAAUGUGUAAGUAACUAUGCACGUCUUGACGGUACCUAAUCAGAAAGCCACGGCUAACUACGUG